Non-coding RNA from Cricetulus griseus (Chinese hamster), 1143 nucleotides. The record is from RefSeq and is a predicted model, not a curated record. NCBI's taxonomy places the organism in Eukaryota, Metazoa, Chordata, Mammalia, Rodentia, Cricetidae.
CAGGCAAACAAGACUCUGCUUGCUCACACAGCCAUGACAAGAAUAAAUUCAGGUGCUGAGACUACAAGGGUAUGCUGUCACACCCAGAUACCCUGCUUGUUUCAGAGGUGGAUAAAUGUCAAGACUUCCAAAUCCAGGACAAAUGGACCAACUCUUAGGGGCAAACCCUUUUGUAGGACCCUUUUGGUCAGCACAGUUCUCUCCUUUCACUGAUCUGAGCUGUUGUCAUCAGUUACCUCCAUUUGGGGUGGGACAGCAGCACAGAGGGGAGGGGGUUAAGGGCUGUGGUAGAUUGAAGACCUUUGUGACCAUCAACCAUUCACAGUUGAAUCAGAAGUAAUACAUAUGUGCUCAACUGCAACAUAAGACUGACAAGACCCUCGGGACAAACAGAAUCCUUCCAUCUUGGAGAGGAGUGGGAAGAGGGCUUGAGGCUAGCCCUUGAAGGCUGGUGAGGUUUUGGAAGGCAUUGAGGGGGUCCUGGGGGAGUUCAAGCAAGAGCAGAGGCCCUUUGUCCCAGAGUAGUGAGCAGACGAGUUCCUCAGAACUGCGUGUGUCCUCAACUACAUGGAUGUGCUUUCUCUGUAAAAAGAGUUGAAAAGCCUGAAGCUUAUGGAUGGAAAGGUCAGUGUCCCAAAUUCUAUAAUGUUCUAUUUCGACUGUACUGCUGAAUUUUAUAUAUUAUCCAGUGGCCUUCUAGACCCUAAAGUCAUAUAAUACAGUCAUAAUUUCUUUUGGAGAACAUGUUGCAGUUUACAAAUUACUUUUUUAUACCCAUUAUUACAUUUGCUCCAUAUAACAGCCCUGUGCCAUCCCACACGCAUCCCCACAAGCUCUUCUUCCCUUUGACAGCAACUGCUGGUUAUAAACGUACCCACCAGAGAAAGCAGAACUUUCCACAGCAGCUGGGUUGCACUAGAAGCACGAGCCUGUUGAAACUAACAAUUCAGGAGAAGUGGAAGGAGAGGACCCAAUACAGACAGACAGACACUGGGGAUUCCCGGAGGCUGAGAUGGUAGCUUUGAGAACAGACAGAUGUAGAAGGGGACAAAUGCAGGCAGAAAGCAAAUCUUCAGUGUAGUGCAGGUUCAUAGUAGGCACACACUGAGAGCUCAUCUCAGCUACCAGUAGGGCUUGAACAGA